AACGAGGCAUGUGCACGCUCUUCUGUCUUUCAUAACUCACCUGUGCACCUAAUGUAGGAUGCUCCUCCUUCGGGAGGGGGGACCUAUGUCUUCAUACGCCUCUUCGUGUAGAAAGUCUUAGAAUGUUUACUAUCAGAGAGUCGCGACUUCUAGGAGACGCGAAUCUCUGAGAUAAAAGUUAAUUACAACUUUCAGCAAUGGAUCUCUUGGCUCUCGCAUCGAUGAAGAACGCAGCGAAAAGCGAUAUGUAAUGUGAAUUGCAGAUCUACAGUGAAUCAUCGAAUCUUUGAACGCACCUUGCGCUCCUCGGUGUUCCGAGGAGCAUGCCUGUUUGAGUGUCAGUAAAUUCUCAACCCCUCUCGAUUUUUUUCGAGGGGGAGUUUGGAKGGUGGGGGCUGCCGGAGACUAGGACUCGUCCUUGACUCGGGCUCUCCUUAAAUGCAUUGGCUUGCGGUCGACUUUCGACUUUGCGCGACAAGGCUUUCGGCGUGAUAAUGAUCGCCGUUCGCUGAAGCGCAUGAACGAAGGUUCCGUGCCUCUAAUACCGU
This 548-nucleotide ribosomal RNA is filed under the name Rhizopogon sp. RNAcentral describes it as "eukaryotic LSU rRNA". The stretch from base 187 to 341 matches the Rfam family "5.8S ribosomal RNA". The record is from RNAcentral. Lineage: Eukaryota; Fungi; Basidiomycota; Agaricomycetes; Boletales; Rhizopogonaceae.